Long non-coding RNA from Leopardus geoffroyi (Geoffroy's cat), 492 nucleotides. RefSeq lists it as uncharacterized. The record is from RefSeq and is a predicted model, not a curated record. The transcript is spliced from 3 exons. NCBI's taxonomy places the organism in Eukaryota, Metazoa, Chordata, Mammalia, Carnivora, Felidae.
GGCCCCUUCCACCUGUGGGGGGCGCCUAGCGCGGGAGCCGGCUUCCGAACCCGCCGUGGGAGAAACCGAGGGGAGCUAACGUGUGAGCCGAGAGGGGCCGAGCGUCGGCGUGCGGCGACGUGGGAAUCGAAUUUGAAGAGAGGCAGGCCUGAGAUGGACGGGGGUGCCACAGACUGACAUGCAAAAGACUUCAUGAGAAAUCAGUUGGGACGAAGGGAAGGACGAGGGACACAAUUCUGUCUUGACCAUGGUCUUUUCCAUUCUGUGUACACAUGAAGCUAUAGCAGACAAGUUCCUUGUUCUCAUUGUCUAGAACUCUCCUUUAGCCGUUGGUACUCCUGAUCACGGUCUGCCUAACAAAUACCUCCACGGGUUUCAAAAUUCGCCUCCUCGGUCCCGCCGUUCUGCAACGUCCCAGGUACAGUUGACCACGCUGUCUUUAAUAAUGUCGUGUGCUUUAUACAAUUAAAUCCCUCAUUGUACUUACCUAUU